Molecule: long non-coding RNA, 1217 nt
Organism: Bos taurus (domestic cattle)
Lineage: Eukaryota; Metazoa; Chordata; Mammalia; Artiodactyla; Bovidae
Source: Ensembl
AAAGAUGGAUGGCUGCCUGGAAUAAAAGUCUACAUUUUCCUUUUCCCCCAGUCUCUUCUGUUUGAAGAAAUAGAAGUAGAAGUGGCAGCUUUCAGGAGACUUCUUAUGAUGUGGCUGGAGUUCUGAUCACCAUCUUGGAACAUGAAGCCAAGCAGCAAACUGUUGGGAUGGAGUCUAGGUUCCUAAAAGUGCAGGAGACCCAGGUUCGAUCCCUGGGUCAGAAAGAUCCCCUGGAGAAAGAAAUAGCAACUCACUUCAGUAUUCUUGCCUGGGGAAGUCCAUGGACAGAGGAACCUGGUGGACCACAGUCCAUGGGGGUCACAAAGAGCCAGACACGACUGAGCAACUAACACAGGAGGUGCUCAGCACACUGCUCACUGACUGACCAGAUCCCUCCAAGUCAACUGAACACGCCUCCACAUUUAUGAACUCCAUCACCUGGCCCCUUUCUAGGCUCCCUUCUCUCCUUCCAAAAUGCACACCACCCACACUGAAUACCCUCCCAGUAGUCAAGUAUAGAUGUGAGAGUUGGACCAUAAAGAAGGCCGAGUACUGAGGAAUUGAUGCUUUCAAGUUGUGGUGCUGGAGACUACUCUUGAGUCCCUUGGACAGCAAGAAACUCAAAUCAGUCAAUCCUAAAGAAAAUCAACACUGCAUAUCCAUUGGAAGGACUCAUGUUGAAGCUCCAAUACUUGGGCCACCUGAUGUGAAGAGCCGACUCAUUGGAAAAGCCUCUGAUGCUGGAAAAGAUUGAGGGCAGGAGGAGAAGGGGACGACAGAGGAUGAGAUGGUUGGAUGGCAUCACCAAGUCCAUGGACAUGAGUUGGAGCAAACUAUGGGAGAUAGUGAAGGACAGGGAAGCCUGGCGUGCUGCAGUCUCCGGGGUGGCAAAGAGUCGGACAGGACUUUUGUUGUUCAGUCAGACUGAGAAGGAAAUGGCAACCCACUCCAGUAUUCUUGCCUGAAGAACCCCAGGGACCGGGGAGCCUGGUGGGCUGCUGUCUAUGGGGUCGCAGAGAGUCGGACACGACUGAUGCGACUUAGCAGCAGCAGCAGCAGCCACCGAAAAACACUCUGUGACCAGUGGCGACACCUAGUGGCCAAAGCGGUGGCAACAGCCAAAGAACCAGGAUUCCUGGUUUUCUCUCCUGGUGCAUACAUAGGUGUUUGCUCUGAGUCUGUGACCCCAUGGACUGUAGCCCGCCAGGCUCCUGCGU